CGAGUGAACCGGGAUGAGCUCAAAUUUAAAAUCUGGCGUCUUUCAGGCGUCCGAGUUGUAAUCUAUAGAGGCGUUUUCCGCGCCGGACCGCGUCCAAGUCUCUUGGAAUAGAGUAUCAAAGAGGGUGACAAUCCCGUACUUGACGCGACAACCGGUGCUCUGUGAUACGUUCUCAAUGAGUCGAGUUGUUUGGGAAUGCAGCUCUAAAUGGGUGGUAAAUUCCAUCUAAGGCUAAAUAUUGGCGAGAGACCGAUAGCGAACAAGUACCGUGAGGGAAAGAUGAAAAGCACUUUGGAAAGAGAGUUAAACAGCACGUGAAAUUGUUAAAAGGGAAACGAUUGAAGUCAGUCGUGUGAAAGGUAUUCAGCCGUCUCUGGCGGUGUAUUUGCCUUUCACGGGUCAACAUCAGUUUGAUCCGGUAGAAAAAGGCGGGAGGAAGGUG
This 442-nucleotide ribosomal RNA is filed under the name Vishniacozyma victoriae. Its description in RNAcentral is "partial large subunit ribosomal RNA". It matches the Rfam family "Eukaryotic large subunit ribosomal RNA", at positions 90 to 538 of the family's 3401-position model. Lineage: Eukaryota; Fungi; Basidiomycota; Tremellomycetes; Tremellales; Bulleribasidiaceae. The record is from RNAcentral.